GGACGUGUGGGAUUCAUUAAUUGCUCAAUAUGAAGUUGAGCAGUGAAGUGUAAACAUCAAAGGAUAAAAUUUCCUUAACAAAAAUCCUACUCAGAACCCAACUCUCUUUCUUUCUCAGCCUCCUCAAUCGAUCACCACCUCUCAACCAAUUUCUCCAUGGCAACAGGGCAGCCAUCAAUGAUCGAUCCAAAACCCAAACACAAACAUAAUAAUACUAAUACUAAUACUUGUUCAUAGCCUUCUCCUCCUUCCCCUUCUACAACUAGUAAGCAAGCAUUUUAAAACCUGUCAAAAAUCCCAAAUGCCUUUACUUCUCUUACCUCCAUAGAUAAAACUCUCAAACCUCAAAAAGAAAAUCCACAAGAAUCGAACUUUUUGAUAUGCAGCUUUGUAGCAAAGAAAUGCAAGGAAUAAACUCAUUAUUAAACUCAUCUUCUCUGAUCCCUCUUGAAGGCCUUCAAAAUCAGCAGAUCUAAAACCCCUAUUUCGAUCCUUCUUCUGCUUCUAAUGAUGAUUUUCUCCUUCUUGUUUUUGGGCUGACCUCAAGUCUCCUUGGGACCUUAACCUUACAAUUAACCUCAUGCCUAUUACUAACUCAGCCAUCGCCACUGUAAAACCUAGAGAUUUAUCUGACGAAACGCCGCCGACUAUACCGAAAAAUGUUGACUUCCAUAGUAAUUUAACAAGUCUGCGCUUUUGGCUUCUAAGCUUAGACAACACCAAAUCAGCGGCGAUGGAGGAGGACCGUUAUCUGCAGCAGCGGCUGCAGAUGCUGCUAAGCUGAUGUUAUAACAGCAAAUAUUGAUGGCUGCUAGAGGAGGAGCGGGCUUGUCACGAAACGACACAUUGAUUUCUCAUUCUUCAAGUCUCCUACACAGCAACUGUUAUUGCGAUUGUUGAAUCGAGUUGGGGCCUUGCACCACUGAAGCAGAGUAGUUUUCUGAUUGAUGGAAUGAAAGGAGUGGCUUUUACUUUACUAUUAUUUUUUGGAUUUUGGUGGGGAUUUUGUUAUUCCUUAGUUUUCCGUUACCGCUGCCGCUGUUGCCAUAGAGGAAUUGGUUGAGAGAGGCUGAGAAAGAGAGAGAGUUGGAUUCUGAUUUCUGAGUAUGGUUUUUGUAAAGGUGCAAUUUUAUCCUUUGAUGUUUAUACUUCAUGGCUUGACACGUCAAAUCCGACGUGUUAUGUUAUCUGGCAUCCUAUUCAACUUCAUUUUUAAUAA
Jatropha curcas is the source of this 1219-nucleotide non-coding RNA. The record is from RefSeq and is a predicted model, not a curated record. NCBI's taxonomy places the organism in Eukaryota, Viridiplantae, Streptophyta, Magnoliopsida, Malpighiales, Euphorbiaceae.